UCCUACGGGAGGCAGCAGUGGGGAAUAUUGCACAAUGGGCGAAAGCCUGAUGCAGCAACGCCGCGUGAGUGAUGACGGCCUUCGGGUUGUAAAACUCUGUCUUUUGGGACGAUAAUGACGGUACCAAAGGAGGAAGCCACGGCUAACUACGUGCCAGCAGCCGCGGUAAUACGUAGGUGGCAAGCGUUGUCCGGAUUUACUGGGCGUAAAGGAUGCGUAGGUGGAUAUUUAAGUGGGAUGUGAAAUACCCGAGCUCAACUUGGGUGCUGCAUUCCAAACUGGAUAUCUAGAGUGCAGGAGAGGUAAGUGGAAUUCCUAGUGUAGCGGUGAAAUGCGUAGAGAUUAGGAAGAACACCAGUGGCGAAGGCGACUUACUGGACUGUAACUGACACUGAGGCAUGAAAGCGUGGGGGGCAAACAGGAUUAGAUACCCUGGUAGUCCACGCCGUAAACGAUGGGUACUAGGUGUAGGGGGGUCCAACCCUCUGUGCCGCCGUUAACACAAUAAGUACCCCGCCUGGGGAGUACGGUCGCAAGAUUAAAACUCAAAGGAAUUGACGGGG
This 563-nucleotide ribosomal RNA is filed under the name uncultured Clostridia bacterium. Its description in RNAcentral is "bacterial SSU rRNA". It matches the Rfam family "Bacterial small subunit ribosomal RNA", at positions 337 to 918 of the family's 1533-position model. Lineage: Bacteria; Bacillati; Bacillota; Clostridia. The record is from RNAcentral.